UUAAAUUCAACCAAAACAAAUUAUCAGUGUGCUUUUUUUACUUACAGCUCCUUCAGAUGGCCAUGGGGAUCCAAUCUCCGGCAGUCUACAUACAAACUCAGAGUCACAAAUUAGAAACAAGCUGUUUCUUUUUUAUUAAAAGGGACUUGCUACUAUUACAUUAACUCAGUCAUAGGGAAACAGCAACAAUAACAACAACAGCCACAAAGAAACAAUUUUUCUGGUCAUUAAGCUAAGCAGCACCCAUUGCUUCUUCCUUCUUAUAGACUUCUCUCUCUUAUUGUCUUUCUUAAGACAUUAAGCUAAGCAGCACCCAUUGCUUCUUCCUUCUUAUAGACUUCUCUCUCUUAUUGUCUUGCUAAAGAGUUAACAGUCAGUUUACUGCAUUUUCUUCUUCUGCCUGCAUACAUUCAUCCAUCCUCAAGUACUACUUACUAUCUAUG
This 443-nucleotide long non-coding RNA is filed under the name Linum usitatissimum (flax). Its description in RNAcentral is "long non-coding RNA (LUSI_LNC004563)". The record is from RNAcentral. Lineage: Eukaryota; Viridiplantae; Streptophyta; Magnoliopsida; Malpighiales; Linaceae.